This 393-nucleotide ribosomal RNA is filed under the name uncultured bacterium. Its description in RNAcentral is "bacterial SSU rRNA". It matches the Rfam family "Bacterial small subunit ribosomal RNA", at positions 505 to 898 of the family's 1533-position model. The record is from RNAcentral.
GUGUCAGCAGCCGCGGUAAUACGUAGGCAGCGAGCGUUGUUCGGAGUUACUGGGCGUAAAGAGUAUGUAGGCGGUUGCGCAAGUUUGGUGUGAAAUCUCCCGGCUUAACUGGGAGGGUGCGCCGAAAACUGCGCGGCUAGAGUGCGGGAGAGGAGAGCGGAAUUCCUGGUGUAGCGGUGAAAUGCGUAGAUAUCAGGAGGAACACCGGCGGUGUAGACGGCUCUCUGGACCGCGACUGACGCUGAGAUACGAAAGCGUGGGGAGCAAACAGGAUUAGAUACCCUGGUAGUCCACGCCCUAAACGAUGCAGACUUGGUGUGGGCAGUUCAUUCUGUCCGUGCCGGAGCUAACGCGUUAAGUCUGCCGCCUGGGGAGUACGGUCGCAAGGCUGAA